UACGUAGGGAGCGAGCGUUAUCCGGAGUUACUGGGCGUAAAGGGCAUGCAGGCGGUCCGACACGUUUUGUGUGACAGCGGGUGGCUUAACUACCCGAGGAUACGAAAGACGGUUGGACUUGAGGACUCGAGAGGGACACGGAAUUCCGGGUGGAGUGGUGAAAUGCGUAGAGAUCCGGAGGAACACCGAAGGCGAAGGCAGUGUCCUGGCGAGUGACUGACGCUGAGGUGCGAAAGCCAGGGGAGCGAACGGG
This 253-nucleotide ribosomal RNA is filed under the name uncultured bacterium. RNAcentral describes it as "partial 16S ribosomal RNA". It matches the Rfam family "Bacterial small subunit ribosomal RNA", at positions 524 to 776 of the family's 1533-position model. The record is from RNAcentral.